UGUAAAGGUGGUGUGUGUGUGUGUGUGUGUGCCGAGGGAUGCUAACAAGAUAUAACCUUUUGCCCCUUGACAUCUGCUGCAAAAGAUAAGAUAAAGGUCGACAGCCGCCCUUAUACGCUGGCUGAACUAUGAUGCAAUGAAUAUUGAUUGAUGACAGCUAAUGCCAGCGGGCUGGAAAAGUGGCACUCUGGGCCACCUUCCCCUGGACAAGCCACGCUGCAAGGUGGAGGCAGCGGAGGAGGACGACCAAACACAGAAACGACAAGGAGGCGUAGACGAGAGGGCUACUGAAAGGAACAGUUUGAUUACGCAUGUGAUUACAGAGUGGAUUCUCCUGUCAGAAGCGCAACAUAGUUUCCAAUAAAAAAAAGUCCUUGUGAAAGAAUUACAAAUAGAUUACGAAGUUUUCACCUUUCUCUUGUAUUUUAAGAAUGUUCUAUUCUAAACAUCUAUAACGGUGUAUGUGUGUAAGUGGAGGGAGCUGCACGUUAGACACUUUUGUAAUACAACAAAUUACGUUUAAUGAUUACUAAUUAGCUGAACUAUUUAGCCGAAAAUCUAGUUUUUAGUACUACGGUAGGUACAGAAUAUAAAUACAAAUAGACAAUAAAUAAUGUAUAUAAGUUUACUGCAUUAACUAGAAAAGCACAGUUAGUCACUAUAAUAAGAGACCCAUAAAUCAGUCCAAUUUUAUUAUUACAUUACCAUCUCAUGUUUGUUCAAGGUGCAACUGUGACGCCCUGGCUGAAGUGACAUAAGCGAUGUCUCCUCUUAUUGGUCAUUUAGAUCAACUAUCAAGACAAGACCCUCAGACUUGAUGAACACGAUCAUGGGGUUCCUCUUCUCCACUUUUAUCAAUGAAACGUCCCUGUGCAAGUGGGUCAACACGCAAGCUGUCCCUUCACUCAACAUCAUGGACUGUGAUUCUUGAAAUGUAUUUUUUGUUUACGACUGUAAGUCGCCCUGGAUAAGAGCGUCUGCUAAGAAAUAAAUAAUAAUAAUCAUCAUGCAUGUACAUGU
Molecule: long non-coding RNA, 1020 nt
Organism: Acipenser ruthenus (sterlet)
Lineage: Eukaryota; Metazoa; Chordata; Actinopteri; Acipenseriformes; Acipenseridae
Exons: 3
Source: RefSeq, a predicted model, not a curated record